Molecule: ribosomal RNA, 253 nt
Filed under: uncultured bacterium
Lineage: Bacteria
Description: partial 16S ribosomal RNA
Rfam family: Bacterial small subunit ribosomal RNA
Source: RNAcentral
UACGUAGGGUGCAAGCGUUAAUCGGAAUUACUGGGCGUAAAGCGUACGCAGGCGGCUAUGCAAGACAGGUGUGAAAUCCCCGGGCUUAACCUGGGAACUGCAUUUGUGACUGCAUGGCUAGAGUUUGUCAGAGGGGGGUGGAAUUCCACGUGUAGCAGUGAAAUGCGUAGAGAUGUGGAGGAACACCGAUGGCGAAGGCAGCGCCCUGGGAUGUGACUGACGCUCAUGUACGAAAGCGUGGGGAGCAAACAGG